Molecule: long non-coding RNA, 1626 nt
Filed under: Bemisia tabaci
Lineage: Eukaryota; Metazoa; Arthropoda; Insecta; Hemiptera; Aleyrodidae
Description: lncRNA ENSSSA2NGG012743
Source: RNAcentral
AUGGCCCCACUCAAGCAGGUGUCCUCUCUGUUUCAUUAUAGUAGACACAUUUUCUUUCAUAGUGUGAUAGAUAUCGGUGAGAAGUUUAUCUGUGAAGAAAUCUCUUUUGGUUCCUUCACAGAAUAUAUCGAAACAAUUGAAUACCAGCUAAGUACUUUUUUGGGCCGAAAUCAUCCUAACAUCCCGCCAUUGUGGCUUGAACUUGCUGAGCAGUUUGCUAAACGCCAUAUUAAUUCAAACAACGGAAAGUAUUUAUAUGCUACAGAAGCUAAGGGCUCGGAUAAUGCAUUUGCUCAAAUCAGCAAAGGGCCUAAAGUUCGAUUCCUGGUUGACUGCUUAGUACGGAAAGCAGCUUACUUUCGUGCAGAGAGACUUGAUUUCCAGUCAUGGUCGUUUUUAGUGCAAGUCAGUUUGUCAAAUUAUAUAUGGAAGGCCACUGAUUUAAAAUAUCUAGAACUUUAUUUUAGUGAAGGUUUGGAUCAAAAUUUUUUUAGGGAAGGAAUCAAUUCUUUAAGUCAACGUUUGCUUAACCGCAUACCAUUUUUAACAAAUUUGACCCAUUUUCAUGUCAAUGAGUUCUCAGAUGAGCUCAUCGCCAUAUUAUGCAAGAAUUGUAAGUCUCUGGAAUCUCUUAAACUAGGAAAUCUUCGAGCAAAAGCAGGGUUUACUAAUUGUCAUAUUACAAAUGAAAGCAUCGAAUUUCUUGCUUCUUUGACAAAGUUGAAAACUUUAGAAAUUUAUAUAUGUGAGGAUUUGUGUGCGAGACUUCUUUUGAAGUCCCAAUCUCAUAACUUAACAUACUUUUCAAAUACAAUUGAACAUUGGGAGUUAGAUGGUAGUUUUAUUAAUGCGCUCCUAACGGAAUUAGUCAGUGAAGUUGUGCCCUUCCGUCCUUUUAAUUUGAUCCGUAUAAAAUGUGACACGCUUGAUUCAGAUCUUUCGUGUUUGAUACCUAAGUAUUUCCCCUAUUUAGAGUCUAUUGAUGUUAUGAACUGCUUGGAUGAUAUGCCAGAAUUUUCUUUUCUAGAAUCUUUGAACCAUCUGAAAGCAGUUAAUUUAGAAAUUACAGUUUUUGAAAAUGAUUUUCUUGACCUCCUAUCCUUAAAAAUUCCAUUGCUAGCUAAGCUAAAGUUAGACUGUGGUAGUGAUGGAGACUUUCCACUAGAGACAAAUACCUUUUUGGAGUUUGGACUUAAUUGCCCCAACCUCCAUUCAAUUGAACUAGAACAAUGUGUCUUUGUUAAUAAUAUUGAACCGACCCAUAGGUCCCAGAAACCAUUUCAGAACUUGAGAAAUUUCAAAUUGACAAAUUUAGGCUCUUUUCUGGGUGCUGAGACUAUCCUUAGUUAUGCCCCAAACAUUGAAGAAAUCCAUAUUUAUCCUGGCGAGAAAUAUCGUAUCUCAGAUGAAUUCUUUGACCGUAUCUUUCAAGCAAAUCCCCUCAGUAAACUAAGAAAACUGGCUUUUGCACUAUCUGAUGUGUCUUCAGAUAUGUUUAAAUUUCUUAUUAGAAGGUGCCCAAAGAUAACCUCCUUUCAAAGCUUGGAUGGAACUAAACUUGAUGAUGGAUAUCCCGAGAUAAGUAAAUUCAUAUCUGAGAACAAUUAUGAUGUAUCAUUUCGUUGA